This 305-nucleotide ribosomal RNA is filed under the name uncultured Bradyrhizobiaceae bacterium. Its description in RNAcentral is "bacterial SSU rRNA". It matches the Rfam family "Bacterial small subunit ribosomal RNA", at positions 20 to 351 of the family's 1533-position model. The record is from RNAcentral. Lineage: Bacteria; Pseudomonadati; Pseudomonadota; Alphaproteobacteria; Hyphomicrobiales; Nitrobacteraceae.
UGGCUCAGAACGAACGCUGGCGGCAGGCUUAACACAUGCAAGUCGAGCGGGCGUAGCAAUACGUCAGCGGCAGACGGGUGAGUAACGUGUGGGAACAUACCUUUUGGUUCGGAACAACCCAGGGAAACUUGGGCUAAUACCGGAUAAGCCCUAACGGGGAAAGAUUUAUCGCCGAAAGAUUGGCCCGCGUCUGAUUAGCUAGUUGGUGAGGUAAUGGCUCACCAAGGCGAGGAUAAGUAGCUGGUCUGAGAGGAUGAUCAGCCACAUUGGGAUUGACUCACGGCCCAAGGGCCUACGGGAGGCAG